AUUGAACGCUGGCGGCAGGCCUAACACAUGCAGGUCGAACGGUAACAGGAAGCAGCUUGCUGCUUCGCUGACGAGUGGCGGACGGGUGAGUAAUGUCUGGGAAACUGCCUGAUGGAGGGGGAUAACUACUGGAAACGGUAGCUAAUACCGCAUAACGUCGCAAGACCAAAGAGGGGGACCUUAGGGCCUCUUGCCAUCGGAUGUGCCCAGAUGGGAUUAGCUAGUAGGUGGGGUAACGGCUCACCUAGGCGACGAUCCCUAGCUGGUCUGAGAGGAUGACCAGCCACACUGGAACUGAGACACGGUCCAGACUCCUACGGGAGGCAGCAGUGGGGAAUAUUGCACAAUGGGCGCAAGCCUGAUGCAGCCAUGCCGCGUGUAUGAAGAAGGCCUUCGGGUUGUAAAGUACUUUCAGCGGGGAGGAAGGGAGUAAAGUUAAUACCUUGGCUCAUUGACGUUACCCGCAGAAGAAGCACCGGCUAACUCCGUG
This 490-nucleotide ribosomal RNA is filed under the name uncultured bacterium. RNAcentral's name for it is "partial 16S ribosomal RNA". It matches the Rfam family "Bacterial small subunit ribosomal RNA", at positions 30 to 507 of the family's 1533-position model. The record is from RNAcentral.